ACGCUGGCGGCGUGCCUAAUACAUGCAAGUCGAGCGAAGUUUUUCUGGUGCUUGCACUAGAAAAACUUAGCGGCGAACGGGUGAGUAACACGUAAAGAACCUGCCUCAUAGACGGGGACAACUAUUGGAAACGAUAGCUAAUACCGGAUAACAGCAUAAAUCGCAUGAUAUGUGUUUAAAAGUUGGUUUCGGCUAACACUAUGAGAUGGCUUUGCGGUGCAUUAGCUAGUUGGUGGGGUAAAGGCCUACCAAGGCGACGAUGCAUAGCCGACCUGAGAGGGUGAUCGGCCACACUGGGACUGAGACACGGCCCAGACUCCUACGGGAGGCAGCAGUAGGGAAUCUUCCGCAAUGGGCGAAAGCCUGACGGAGCAACNCCGCGUGAGUGAAGAAGGAUUUCGGUUCGUAAAGCUCUGUUGUUAGGGAAGAAUGAUUGUAUGUAACUAUAUACAGUAGAGACGUACCUAACCAGAAAGCC
RNAcentral lists this ribosomal RNA (478 nucleotides) under Gemella sanguinis. RNAcentral's name for it is "bacterial SSU rRNA". It matches the Rfam family "Bacterial small subunit ribosomal RNA", at positions 33 to 492 of the family's 1533-position model. Lineage: Bacteria; Bacillati; Bacillota; Bacilli; Caryophanales; Gemellaceae. The record is from RNAcentral.